This 366-nucleotide long non-coding RNA is filed under the name Chinchilla lanigera (long-tailed chinchilla). RNAcentral describes it as "lncRNA (ENSCLAG00000026123.1)". The record is from RNAcentral. Lineage: Eukaryota; Metazoa; Chordata; Mammalia; Rodentia; Chinchillidae.
CUUCAGUGUUGGUGGGACUAAGGAAUUCACCGAUCCUCACGUUUUAAUUGUACCUGUGUGCUUUAGCAGUGAGCGUAAUUAAUGCAUAACAAUAGAGCAGAGCCCUUCCACUGACCUGGCAGUUUCAUCAAUGCUCCUUCCUCUCUCUUCGCGAGGUGCUUAAGUGGUGAUAAGCAAGAAAGUGGCUGCCGCUGAGUAACGCCUGGCCGCGGGUUUCAGUGAAUCAUAGGAGAACUGACGAAAAGUAUGCACCAAUUUUCCACAGACCUGCCAUCGUAAUACAUAACCUGAGGUUCCUGCAGGUCCACAGCACUGCAGAGAAGCCCCCGCCUGCUGCUCCCACUGGACGAUGAAGUCUCUCUAGGC